Molecule: ribosomal RNA, 465 nt
Filed under: uncultured bacterium
Lineage: Bacteria
Description: partial 16S ribosomal RNA
Rfam family: Bacterial small subunit ribosomal RNA
Source: RNAcentral
CCUACGGGUGGCUGCAGUGGGGAAUUUUGGACAAUGGGCGCAAGCCUGAUCCAGCUAUUCCGCGUGUGGGAUGAAGGCCCUCGGGUUGUAAACCACUUUUGUAGAGAACGAAAAGACACCUUUUAAUAAAGGGUGUUGCUGACGGUACUCUAAGAAUAAGCACCGGCUAACUACGUGCCAGCAGCCGCGGUAAUACGUAGGGUGCGAGCGUUAAUCGGAAUUACGGGGCGUAAAGGGUGUGCAGGCGGCUGAGUAAGACAGAUGUGAAAUCCCCGGGCUUAACCUGGGAACCGCAUAUGUGACUGCUUGGCUAGAGUGCGUCAGAGGGAGGUGGAAUUCCACGUGUAGCAGUGAAAUGCGUAGAUAUGUGGAAGAACACCGAUGGCGAAGGCAGCCUCCUGGGACGCAACUGACGCUCAUACACGAAAGCGUGGGGAGCAAACAGGAUUAGAUACCCGAGUAGUC